RNAcentral lists this transfer RNA (77 nucleotides) under Hyphococcus sp. Its description in RNAcentral is "tRNA-Thr". It matches the Rfam family "tRNA". Rfam says of the family: Transfer RNA (tRNA) molecules are approximately 80 nucleotides in length. The record is from RNAcentral. Lineage: Bacteria; Pseudomonadati; Pseudomonadota; Alphaproteobacteria; Parvularculales; Parvularculaceae.
GCCGGGGUAGCUCAGCCGGUAGAGCAACUGCCUUGUAAGCGGUAGGUCGCGGGUUCAAAUCCUCGCCCCUGGCACCA